This 497-nucleotide ribosomal RNA is filed under the name uncultured bacterium. RNAcentral describes it as "partial 16S ribosomal RNA". It matches the Rfam family "Bacterial small subunit ribosomal RNA", at positions 28 to 507 of the family's 1533-position model. The record is from RNAcentral.
GAUGAACGCUGGCGGCGUGCCUAAUACAUGCAAGUCGAGCGAACAGACGAGGAGCUUGCUCCUCUGACGUUAGCGGCGGACGGGUGAGUAACACGUGGAUAACCUACCUAUAAGACUGGGAUAACUUCGGGAAACCGGAGCUAAUACCGGAUAAUAUAUUGAACCGCAUGGUUCAAUAGUGAAAGACGGUUUUGCUGUCACUUAUAGAUGGAUCCGCGCCGCAUUAGCUAGUUGGUAAGGUAACGGCUUACCAAGGCAACGAUGCGUAGCCGACCUGAGAGGGUGAUCGGCCACACUGGAACUGAGACACGGUCCAGACUCCUACGGGAGGCAGCAGUAGGGAAUCUUCCGCAAAGGGCGAAAGCCUGACGGAGCAACGCCGCGUGAGUGAUGAAGGUCUUCGGAUCGUAAUACUCUGUUAUUAGGGAAGAACAAAUGUGUAAGUAACUAUGCACGUCUUGACGGUACCUAAUCAGAAAGCCACGGCUAACUACGUG